ACGCUGGCGGCGUGCCUAAUACAUGCAAGUAGAACGCUGAAGGAGGAGCUUGCUUCUCCGGAUGAGUUGCGAACGGGUGAGUAACGCGUAGGUAACCUGCCUGGUAGCGGGGGAUAACUAUUGGAAACGAUAGCUAAUACCGCAUAACAGUAGAUGUUGCAUGACAUUUGCUUAAAAGGUGCAAUUGCAUCACUACCAGAUGGACCUGCGUUGUAUUAGCUAGUUGGUGGGGUAACGGCUCACCAAGGCGACGAUACAUAGCCGACCUGAGAGGGUGAUCGGCCACACUGGGACUGAGACACGGCCCAGACUCCUACGGGAGGCAGCAGUAGGGAAUCUUCGGCAAUGGACGGAAGUCUGACCGAGCAACGCCGUGUGAGUGAAGAAGGUUUUCGGAUCGUAAAGCUCUGUUGUAAGAGAAGAACGAGUGUGAGAGUGGAAAGUUCACGCUGUGACGGUAUCUUACCAGAAAGGGACGGCUAACUACGUGCCAGCAGCCGCGGUAAUACGUAGGUCCCGAGCGUUGUCCGGAUUUAUUGGGCGUAAAGCGAGCGCAGGCGGUUAGAUAAGUCUGAAGUUAAAGGCUGUGGCUUAACCAUAGUACGCUUUGGAAACUGUUUAACUUGAGUGCAAGAGGGGAGAGUGGAAUUCCAUGUGUAGCGGUGAAAUGCGUAGAUAUAUGGAGGAACACCGGUGGCGAAAGCGGCUCUCUGGCUUGUAACUGACGCUGAGGCUCGAAAGCGUGUGGAGCAAACAGGAUUAGAUACCCUGGUAGUCCACGCCGUAAACGAUGAGUGCUAGGUGUUAGACCCUUUCCGGGGUUUAGUGCCGCAGCUAACGCAUUAAGCACUCCGCCUGGGGAGUACGACCGCAAGGUUGAAACUCAAAGGAAUUGACGGGGGCCCGCACAAGCGG
This 915-nucleotide ribosomal RNA is filed under the name uncultured bacterium. Its description in RNAcentral is "bacterial SSU rRNA". It matches the Rfam family "Bacterial small subunit ribosomal RNA", at positions 33 to 932 of the family's 1533-position model. The record is from RNAcentral.